Molecule: ribosomal RNA, 670 nt
Filed under: uncultured bacterium
Lineage: Bacteria
Description: bacterial SSU rRNA
Rfam family: Bacterial small subunit ribosomal RNA
Source: RNAcentral
GUGCCAGCAGCCGCGGUAAUACGUAGGGGGCGAGCGUUGUCCGGAAUGAUUGGGCGUAAAGGGCGCGUAGGCGGCCCGGUAAGUCUGGAGUGAAAGUCCUGCUUUUAAGGUGGGAAUUGCUUUGGAUACUGUCGGGCUUGAGUGCAGGAGAGGUAAGUGGAAUUCCCAGUGUAGCGGUGAAAUGCGUAGAGAUUGGGAGGAACACCAGUGGCGAAGGCGACUUACUGGACUGUAACUGACGCUGAGGCGCGAAAGUGUGGGGAGCAAACAGGAUUAGAUACCCCGGUAGUCCUGGCCGUAAACGAUGAGUGCUAGGUGUGGGAGGUAUCGACUCCUCCCGUGCCGGAGUAAACGCAAUAAGCACUCCGCCUGGGGAGUACGGUCGCAAGACUGAAACUCAAAGGAAUUGACGGGGGCCCGCACAAGCGGUGGAGUAUGUGGUUUAAUUCGACGCAACGCGAAGAACCUUACCAAGCCUUGACAUCUGGGGAAUUCUGAUGAAAGUCGGAAGUGCCUUCGGAAGCCCGAACAGGUGGUGCAUGUUGUCGUCACUCUGUCCUGAGAUGUUGGUAAUUCCGCACAGCGCACCCUGCAUUGUUACACGCGUAAGGUGGAACCUAUCGACAGCCGGAUACCGGAGGAGGGCGGGGAUAAUCAAUCAUCUUGCCCU